RNAcentral lists this ribosomal RNA (274 nucleotides) under uncultured bacterium. RNAcentral's name for it is "partial 16S ribosomal RNA". It matches the Rfam family "Bacterial small subunit ribosomal RNA", at positions 523 to 796 of the family's 1533-position model. The record is from RNAcentral.
AUACGGAGGGUGCAGGCGUUGUUCGGAAUCACUGGGCGUAAAGGGCGCGCAGGCGGUUUGGUAAGUCAGAUGUGAAAGCCCACGGCUCAACCGUGGAAGUGCAUUUGAAACUGCCAGACUUGAGUACCAGAGGGGAAAGUGGAAUUCCCGGUGUAGAGGUGAAAUUCGUAGAUAUCGGGAGGAAUACCGGUGGCGAAGGCGACUUUCUGGCUGGAUACUGACGCUGAGGCGCGAAAGCGUGGGGAGCAAACAGGAUUAGAAACCCCAGUAGUCC